CAACGCUCAAAGCUAAGGAGCUCUUGAAAACCUUUAAGAGUACUUCGGCAAAAGCCUUCCCCAGAAUGUAAGUUUCACGAACACCAAGACAUUGAUGUGACGAUGACUGUAUCUAUAAUGCCUGAAAAUUGCCUAGCACAGAGACCGAACACUCCGAGAGCUUCCCAACCUUCCUCCACCCUCUUGCGGAAAAAGCCGAAGGCAGAGUAAGGCGCCGAAGCA
Long non-coding RNA from Tupaia belangeri chinensis (Chinese tree shrew), 222 nucleotides. RefSeq lists it as uncharacterized. The record is from RefSeq and is a predicted model, not a curated record. The transcript is spliced from 3 exons. NCBI's taxonomy places the organism in Eukaryota, Metazoa, Chordata, Mammalia, Scandentia, Tupaiidae.